UACGUAGGUGGCAAGCGUUGUCCGGAUUUACUGGGCGUAAAGAGCGCGCAGGCGGCCGAGUAAGUCGAAUGUGAAAGCCCCCGGCUCAACUGGGGAAGGUCAUUCGAUACUGUUCGGCUCGAAGAUAGGAGAGGGAAGCGGAAUUUCAGGUGUAGUGUGAAAUGCGUAGAUAUCUGAAGGAACACCAGUGGCGAAGGCGGCUUUCUGGCCUAUUCUUGACGCUGAGGCGCGAAAGCUAGGGGAGCGAACGGG
This 252-nucleotide ribosomal RNA is filed under the name uncultured bacterium. Its description in RNAcentral is "partial 16S ribosomal RNA". It matches the Rfam family "Bacterial small subunit ribosomal RNA", at positions 524 to 776 of the family's 1533-position model. The record is from RNAcentral.